UUUGAACAAGAAAACGUUUAUUACUGCAAAGACAAGUCACAAAUUUUAAGAAAACAACACUAAGAAGCUAGCCUGAGCUGAGAUCUGAAAUAUUCAGAAAACGAAACUACAUGUGUCUUUAAUAGUUUCUAUAAUCAUCAAUACGACACACUAAAUGAUAAUGUCUUUGUAAAUAUAAAAGUCCCCCAAUUGUCCUCGUUUUUUUUCAUGUAAAAUACACAAUACAAAUCACCCUACACACAUUGGUUUGCUUGCCAAUUUGAGAAUAUACAUUAUAUGAAGAAAAGUUAACGGCACACAAAAAGAAAGUCACGUGAAAUUUGUGUGUAUAUAUUAUAUCAGAUACUAUACAUUAUCCAGAAAAGAGGAAAAAAAGGAGAUCACAAAAGCACUUUAGCCAACAUAUCAGAUAAUAAAAUGUUCACCAAAAGAACAAAUCAAAUAAUUAGGACACAAAUAAAUAUACCUUUUUCAGUUUUUGAUAUAUACACAUUUUUUGUUUAGGGUGAAUCAAAAAUAAAAACCUUCCCCAAAUGCCACUGCCAAAUGCUUGUGCUUGCAUUAGAGCGUGCUACAGAUGGCCACGACUCACUAGACUGUCAAAUGGCACUUGAAAAGAAAAAGGAAAAGAAAAAAAAAUACAAAUCUCAAAUAGGUCACAGCAUUCAGAAAAUAUCAUUUGACAAAAGAAAUCACGAUCAUGAGAAAACAACUCAGAGCAUUUUUACUUACAGUAACUCUCCUGGUUCAUUAACCAGUUCUAUACAAUAAAAAGUUGUUUGCAGGUAAUCUACCGUGUGUAAUUUACUCUGUGUGUCUGUGGUGUCACAUCCAGUAAAUAAUAAAUAGUCCAGUCUGAGGACAGGUCUUUCUGCUUCCUCAGCUCUGGUGUCUUCUCAGUGGCAGCACCUGUGCAAUGAAAUGUCUGCUCUGUAGCCUCUAUCUGUAGCCCACCAGAGACCCAAUAGUCGCCCAGGCCAUCUGCUCUGGCCGGGGCGAAAUUAAAGGCACUGGAGUCUGCUAUGGGUCAGUGAAGCUGCCGUGUUAUCCAGGUGAAGAGGCAUUUCUCAGCGUUCGCUCCUAUGACAAGUUAAGGAAUAGCUUAUAUCUCGUUUUUUUUUCAUGGUUGGAAAUGGGCUCAUUUGCAAACAGCUGUUACAAAAAAAACAAUCUUAUCUCUCAAUUUUCAAAAGACACUGAGAAAUAAAGUACAAUUGUGUUGGCAGCAUUAACAUGAGUCCAUGGGGGGGGGGGUAAGAAUUCGAUUGAGAGAAACAAGUUUUCUAGCAGCACAUGGCAGGUGUGCAAAACCAGAAAGCACUUAUGAUCCUAAAGCACACAAUUGAGAUUCAAAGAAAACAUCUUUUAAGCCAUUUUCACGUCAGGCACAAAAUAAUGAAAGGUACCAUCUACAGUGUUGCAGUUCAUAUAUAUGAUGAUUUUAAAAAAAUAACUCAGCAAGAGAAAGGUAAAAAUGCAACAGGCAAGAUAGUGGAUCUCGCAAAAAACCUUCAUUCCUAACAGUACAUCCAGAUUUACAAUGUAUUUUAAAAUUUUACAGACAGAACCCCAUCACUUUUUACAGUUUGAGCUCGCCAAAUUUCAUUUCUCACAGUUGUGUGAACACGGAUUUAAAGGAAGUAGAAGAGGAGAUCUGGGGUUCAUUCAUUUUUUUAAUCGAACUUUUUCAGUUCUUUCUCCCAACUUGCAUUCGACAGUUUAAUUCCAAGAGUCCGGGAGCUUUCUCUCGCUCAAGUUCAUAGUGUUCACAGACUGAUGUGAUGUAAACGAAAUGCCUCAGGCCUCCAACUUGCAGCUGCUUACAGUGCAGUUCAUUGGCCUUUUCUCGCAGACUUCUCAAACUGUCCGUCGAUCAAUAUGGUUAGAAAGUCAGAUUCGUGUGCGCUCAGUUCCUAGAUGAAGUCAGGCAGACAUUUCAAGCCUGCUGGGUUGAAAUGUCUGUCUUUGUAAGGCUAUAGUAUCAGAUGUGUAGCAUAGGUUUAACCAGUGAGGAACGUGGCUUUGGGGGGAUUCGAUUUUUCACAUUCCCCCAAAAG
This is a long non-coding RNA of Amphiprion ocellaris (clown anemonefish), 2057 nucleotides long. NCBI's taxonomy places the organism in Eukaryota, Metazoa, Chordata, Actinopteri, Pomacentridae. The record is from Ensembl.